GCAAUUUUUAGACAAGGGCACAUAAAGAAUCUCAGACACUGGGGGCAGACAGAUUUGCCCAGAGAGCAUCUCUUCCUAACAGUCCCUAAGAAGAAGGAGUCUAAAUCCCCUAUCAUUCCUCCUCAACCUCAGAGCAAUCUGGAUUCAAGUACCCAGUCAUCACAUUUUAUUUUAUUUAUUUUAUUUGUGAGAAAUUUCCCAGAAACUCUCUAUUUUUUCAGUGCUCGGCCAUGACCUUCAUGUUCAUCGCAGCGCUUGGGGUGCUUCUGUUUCUAAGAGGAACCGGAGCCCAAUCUGUGACCCAGCCUGAUGCCCACAUCACUGUCCCUGAAGAAUCCCCUCUGGAGCUGAGAUGCAACUAUUCCUAUGGUGCAACUCCAUAUCUCUACUGGUACGUGCAGUACCCCAACCAAGGCCUCAAGCUUCUCCUCAGGUACUUUUCAGGGGAUACCGUGGUUCAAGGCAUCAAAGGUUUCAAGGCUGAAUUUAGUAAAACCUCCUUCCACCUGAAGAAACCCUCAGCCCAUUGGAGCGACUCAGCCAAGUACUUCUGUGCUGCGAGUGACACAGUGUCUGGGACUGACCGGAGAGCUGCACACAAACCUCCUGAGAUGUUGUAAUUUAAAAGACUCAGGGUCUCAGCCUGAGUUAUUUUCAGGAAGUCAACAUGUUCUGUAAAGAUAAACAAUGCAGAGAAUUCAGAAUCCUGGGAAGUGUUUAGUUUCUAUGGACAUCUUAGAUAAUUUUUCCUUUUGUUUUGUUUUGUUUUUCCAUUUUGCAAACGCAAGAAGUGCAGCUUUUGCUGGUUUUUGAAAUGCGGCAUUUUUAUCCUCUAGAGUCCCGAUUCUAGAGGGAAUAAAGCUAUAGGAUUUUCAACAAGCUGGAGAAGUUACUUGCUCUCAUAUCAUUUGAAAUAGU
Molecule: non-coding RNA, 918 nt
Organism: Canis lupus familiaris (dog)
Lineage: Eukaryota; Metazoa; Chordata; Mammalia; Carnivora; Canidae
Source: the annotation of a RefSeq genome assembly